AGAAUGAACGCUGGCGGCGUGCUUAACACAUGCAAGUCGAACGAGGCGGAGGGGGCAACCCCUCCAGUCGAGUGGCGGACGGGUGAGUAACACGUGGGUAACCUGCCCGGAAGUGGGGAAUACCUCGGGGAAACUCGAGCUAAUACCGCAUGACAUCUUCGGGACGAAAGUCCUGACGAUCAAAGCGGGGCCGCAAGGCCUCGCGCUCCCGGGAUGGGCCCGCGCCCGAUUAGCUAGUUGGCGAGGUAACGGCUCACCAAGGCUUCGAUC
This 270-nucleotide ribosomal RNA is filed under the name uncultured soil bacterium. RNAcentral's name for it is "partial 16S ribosomal RNA". It matches the Rfam family "Bacterial small subunit ribosomal RNA", at positions 26 to 281 of the family's 1533-position model. The record is from RNAcentral.